This is a long non-coding RNA of Populus nigra (black poplar), 1321 nucleotides long. RefSeq lists it as uncharacterized. The record is from RefSeq and is a predicted model, not a curated record. Lineage: Eukaryota; Viridiplantae; Streptophyta; Magnoliopsida; Malpighiales; Salicaceae. The transcript has 2 exons.
UGUGUUUAUCAUUUCUCAUUUUGUUCUUUGUUUUGUCGGGUUUGCAGACAAGAUCCUAACAUCUCGCCAGCAGCGCUGCCUACUACCUUCAACGCCAGCCUCCAUCUCCACUUUCCACCAUCACCAAACCCUCCCUUCAAACCAAUCCCUACGGUAGCCCAGCCGCCACUACCCACUGCUCAGCACCCACACACAAACCACCGUCGCCAACCAGCAGCAGACCCGAACAAUUGCAUCGCCAUUUUCGUCCAAACCCCCAUCACCACAGCCCCCAUCACCGAUCGUAAUCAUCACGCCGGCAAGAAAACCACAGCCCCCAUCGCCAUACUCCAAACCUCCACGCUACUCACAUCGACUGCCCUCUCUCUCGCCAAGCAAUCACAACGAGUCGUCCAUCUCAUCACCAAACCACCACACACCACUACACAGCAAACACCCACAGCACCCCAAACUCACCAAAUCAGUCACCGAAAACAACACCACCUCCAACAACCAAAGACAGCAGCGGUAGUCACGAAAGAGGGAAAGACAGCAGAACCAAAAGGCCCUGAUCUCCCUCGUCAGUUGUUGGUGGAUAACGCCACUAUCACGGACAGGUAGAAUAGAACCACCAGUCAUCAGCUUGUGGCUUCACGUGCCCCAGCUUCUGCACGCUUCAACGCUGUCCCAGUAGCUUCCUGAAGAAAUGGAGGUGAUGAACAAAAUACUCUCCAGGAGCGAUGUAAGCAAUAAACGAAUGGAAUUUCCGGCUAGGAGUCUCUCGGCCUUCCCCAUGCCAGAUGGUCAGAACUCGGUCCAAUUUGUGGCAUUUGACAUGAACGAACAGCAAUGGAGAUUUGAGGUCUCCAUCCGCAAUGAAGGUAGGUAUCGGAAACCUUGGCUACAGGGCGAAUGGCAUGGCUAUGUUCCUCAGAAAGGGCUUAGGAAAGGAGAUAAGGUUAUCUUUACUAUGCAUGAGGAAGCGAAUGGCGAAAGAAUUUAUCGUAUCAGAGCUGAAAGAAAACAUUUCGGUUUCUGGUAUUCAAUUGAUGAUCAGCAGUAAUAGCUCUCCAUAAAUCGAAGCAUGAGACUGGGCUCAUGUUAAGUGUGACAGGCAAGGAGAAACUAUCAUUUGGAGGUGUCCGCAGUUCACUCUGGUUGUGUAAUGAGUUAAGUCAAAAUACAAUAUGUAUCUGUCUUGAAGAAGGUAAGUCCUAGCUAGUCGUAAGAACUAUUGUCCCUAUGAAUUUGUUGCCUGCAGUCUGCCUUGGUAUUCUGUCCUUGUUGUAUUUUAUUUUAUUGUAUUGUAUUAUGCUUAGAUAGGUGCUAUGAGCUUUGUGUC